UGUUGCGCAUCAUGGUAUGCGCAUCCGCGAAUUGUUACCAAACCACCGGCUUUACAUUGGCGUUCACGUGAUUGCGGCGGCGUUUGAAAGAUUAAUCUAUACGACAGGUCACAAAAUGUCGUAACCGUUGGGAAAUGAACGUUGGGAGUGCCGAGUGAAAUGCCGCAUCAAUCAACAGUGUUAACAGCUACGUGUUAGACUUUUAUCGGACAAUGAGAUCGGUCAUCUGCGGCGUGAUGCUGUUCCAAGACGGAAAGCUAACAACGGACAUGGGCAGCGAAACAGAUGUCGUAGGUGAAAAUCGAUCGAUGGAAAAUUUAAGCUAUGUCACUCAACUCGCGAGCUACGAUAAGAUGUUACUUCACGCAUGGCGGCGACAUGGUUUUGCGACCGGUGUUUGCAGAUUUGCCACUUUUUGUCCGUGUCGACCCUACAACGCUAUGUCAUAUAUUUUUAGAAGCGGUCUGUCCGGACGGGGAAAAUGCUGGCUCCGCUCACUCCAUCGAUCAGUACGUCGCGAGAUUCGUGUCCGAUUCAUGUGCGGAUGGAACGUGCGACAAGGAUGACUGUCCGAGGACACGACGAGAGACAUUAUCGCACCGAGCAGUCGGCAGGAGUCACCGUCGCAUACGAAAGGAUGGAGAAGAAAGCGGACGCCGCCAGCCAACCGAUGGCGAGGAACAGCAAUUUCCUGAGGAAUAUCCGGAUUUACGGGGCUCCUCGAGGAUAUCGAACAAAUUUAGCGCGAAACACGUAACGAACGAGUUCCGUGGCAACGGGCCGGAGGGACGAAAGUGCCGGAGCAGAAGGAGAGAGAGAAGGAGAGGAAGAGAGAAGAACGAGCUACCGCGCACGCAUA
Molecule: long non-coding RNA, 859 nt
Organism: Harpegnathos saltator (Jerdon's jumping ant)
Lineage: Eukaryota; Metazoa; Arthropoda; Insecta; Hymenoptera; Formicidae
Exons: 5
Source: RefSeq, a predicted model, not a curated record